UACGUAGGGUGCAAGCGUUGUCCGGAAUUAUUGGGCGUAAAGAGCUUGUAGGCGGUUUGUCGCGUCUGCUGUGAAAUUUCGGGGCUCAACCCCGAACUUGCGGUGGGUACGGGCAGACUAGAGUGUGGUAGGGGAGACUGGAAUUCCUGGUGUAGCGGUGAAAUGCGCAGAUAUCAGGAGGAACACCGGUGGCGAAGGCGGGUCUCUGGGCAACAACUGACGCUGAGGAGCGAAAGCGUGGGGAGCGAACAGG
Molecule: ribosomal RNA, 253 nt
Filed under: uncultured bacterium
Lineage: Bacteria
Description: partial 16S ribosomal RNA
Rfam family: Bacterial small subunit ribosomal RNA
Source: RNAcentral